GACGAACGCUGGCGGCGUGCUUAACACAUGCAAGUCGAACGGAAAGGCCCUGCUUUUGUGGGGUGCUCGAGUGGCGAACGGGUGAGUAACACGUGAGUAACCUGCCCUUGACUUUGGGAUAACUUCAGGAAACUGGGGCUAAUACCGGAUAGGAGCUCCUGCUGCAUGGUGGGGGUUGGAAAGUUUCGGCGGUUGGGGAUGGACUCGCGGCUUAUCAGCUUGUUGGUGGGGUAGUGGCUUACCAAGGCUUUGACGGGUAGCCGGCCUGAGAGGGUGACCGGCCACAUGGGGACUGGGAUACGGCCCAGACUCCGACGGGAGGCAGCAGUGGGGAAUAUUGCACAAUGGGCGGAAGCCUGAUGCAGCAACGCCGCGUGCGGGAGGACGGCCUUCGGGUUGUAAACCGCUUUCGCCUGUGACGAAGCGUGAGUGACGGUAAUGGGUAAAGAAGCACCGGCGAACUACGU
Molecule: ribosomal RNA, 467 nt
Filed under: uncultured bacterium
Lineage: Bacteria
Description: partial 16S ribosomal RNA
Rfam family: Bacterial small subunit ribosomal RNA
Source: RNAcentral